UGUCCAGUAUGCUCAGCACUUCAUUAUUGGCUGGUGGCCUGACCAGACCCAAACUCGAGCUGGUCACAUCACACUCUGCUGUCUUACCUAAAGAAACAGUUCAGUUAAAAUGUGAACUAUCUGAACCAAGCAAUGUCUCUGUAAACUUCCACUUGUACAGAGAUGGGAGAGAUGAUAAAAAUAAAUACGCUGGAAACUCAACAACAUUUAAUGUGACUGAGAAUACCUCAGGUCAGUUCCAAUACAGCUGUGGCUAUGACCAGGGGAGCAGCUCCAAAAAAUCACCUGGGAGCAUCCCUGUUAACAUCACUGUGGUAAACUUGUCUCAGCCUAGUAUCUCCUUCAGUUCUUCUGGUGACUGGUUUCACUGGUGGCUUAAAGAGCGAGAGGUGACCAGAGGCUACAGCUUCUCCAUCAUCUGCUCUACUCAACCACAGUAUCCAGGAGGAUCCUUCCACCUGGUGUGUAUUGGUGGAUGCAAUAGGAACAGAACUCAGCCCGCUGUUAACUCCACCUUUAUCUUUGGUGAGGCUGAUUAUGACCAUCAGGGAAGCUACAGCUGUGAUUAUGAAGUAAAUGUUUCUUCACGCAAUUUCGGAUGUUCUAGCAAAGAACUCUUGGCCAUCACUGUGAAAGCAUCGCUGGUUCCCUUCAUAAGUAUUGCAGCAGCAGCAGGACUGCUAUUUGUAUCAAUACCGAUCAUCAUUUUCUGCAUAAGGAAACGGCAGAAGAAGCACAGUAACAGCUACGGUGUCAGAACUUUGGAGGAAAAUGAGAGGACUGAGAUUGAUGAAGAUGAUUAUGAAAAUGCAGCAAUAGCUCUGCAACAGAGAAAAGAUUCGGAUGAAUCUGGUGAAGACUAUGUGGAUAUAGAUGAUGAUUUGGAGAAAAGGCGAGUGGCCAAUAAUACAAAGUUUGCAGGUGAGCAAAUGUAUAAUCUUUUUAGCAAUUUAGUUUAAAACAACAACAACUUGGCAACAUUUUAAAUGCACC
RNAcentral lists this long non-coding RNA (993 nucleotides) under Astyanax mexicanus (Mexican tetra). RNAcentral describes it as "lncRNA (ENSAMXG00005004618.1)". The record is from RNAcentral. Lineage: Eukaryota; Metazoa; Chordata; Actinopteri; Characiformes; Acestrorhamphidae.